AGAUUCUGCAGCCUGCAUUUUAGUCAUGUCAUGCAUUCCUCAGCAACGUACAGGAGGGGUAAAAAAAUGCAUCACUCUCCAUCAAUGCGCAGGGCUUUCCUCGGCUUUCCCCGAGAAAACCACUGGGGACCAGAGGGAAACGAGGAGGAGGAGGAGAAGAGGAGGCUGUGUGUUCGGUCUGCUUACUGACUACAAAGCCCUUUGUUUACAUUGUGUCACUUUUGUUGCGUGGCGUGCUGUUCUGAAGCAGGAUACUCCUGGGGAAUGUGUACGUAAACUCCUGGCUUCCACUGUAAGGGAACGAAACCCGUCAACGAUGGCCAGCGUCUGCGUGUUGAUGGACAGAAGGCACGCUAUCCUGCAAUGCAACGAAUCAGCCACCAGGAGGGACUGCAGUAUGAGUAAAUCACCACAGCAGGUACAUGUUGCAGGACCAACAGACUUGUCGGGCCCAAAGGAGGAGCAUGACUGAUAAAAGAGUCCGGCGUGGGAGUGCUAGUAAACAGGUGGCAGAUGUAGCAGAAUCCAGGCGGGCGCGGGAGGGGGAGAGGAAAGACGAAAGAGAAGAACAGCAUAAUUCGAUACCAGCCUGCAGAGAGGACAGCAGGGGAUGAGGGAGGCGGCCAAGAACGAGGGUAUAUGCUACAUGUAGGGUGGGGGGGCUCAUUUAGAAAUGAUUGCUGAGGGCCUCCAGCAUACACUUGUGCCUGUCCAAAUAUUUAUCUUGUCACACAACCCGACAGAAAUAUUCAGAGAAGAAGCACAGAGGACUUCAGGUGUGGUUACCUUAAUAACUUUUAAUUGAAAAAAAAAAAAAAAAAAACUUUUUUUGCAGCACAAGAUUAAAUGACAAUGACUUCCAAAGAAUAAAAAUGCCACGAUUGAUCAUUCAUAAUUUAAAGAAAAUGCUUCACCUCAAUGUUGGCACUGAAGGUGCUAAACAUCCAUAAAGUGUGUCGUAACCCUUCAUAAAUGCAAUAAACUGCAUGUAGACAGCAGGCUUGUACGUUACAAAAACAGCACUGUUAUUUACAGAGUUCUCCACACAAAUUGCCCCAUAACCCAUACCCAGCAUGGGUGGGAUUGGGCAAAAAAACAACAACAAAAAACCCCACUUAAAAUAAAUUCUUAUUUUAAUGUUGUACCAUAAUCUCACAGAAAAAAUUUUAACUCAAAAAUCAAAUUUAAGUUAUUUGUUGGGGGAAAUCAUGUAUCUUGGGAAAUAAUUGUUUUAUUUUACUUCUCAAAAAAUUACAGGUAUUGCAUUGGCAACCCCAACAAUUCCUUUAAAACAAAUGAUAAGUAAUUCUCUUAAUUAAACUUCUAUAAACUUAAAAUUUCUUUUGGCCACUAAUGAAAACGGGUAAGACAAGAAAACAUGCCAUUUAUGCAAGGAAUUAACUGGAGCCAUUUGAUUUGAUCAGAUUAGAGUAAAACUGAGCUUCUUGGCAGCAAACGUCCCAAGUGAACCUGGCAAUAACAAAAAUAAUGACAAUUAAAAUAACAUCUUAUGUCCGCUGUUGAGCACAGUGAGCACAGAGUGAUGAUCUGGACCUGUUUCUCUUUCAAAGACAUUGGAAAUCUUGCCAAAAAUGAAACAUAAAAAAAAAA
This is a non-coding RNA of Poecilia reticulata (guppy), 1611 nucleotides long. The record is from RefSeq and is a predicted model, not a curated record. Lineage: Eukaryota; Metazoa; Chordata; Actinopteri; Cyprinodontiformes; Poeciliidae.